UUUUAGCCCCGAUCGCAGUGAAAAUCCUCCCUGCUCGGGGUUCGGGCAGGGAGAUUGCAACGAAGAGCGGGAGGAAUC
RNAcentral lists this small RNA (78 nucleotides) under Flavobacterium aquicola. Its description in RNAcentral is "Flavo-1 RNA". It matches the Rfam family "Flavo-1 RNA". Lineage: Bacteria; Pseudomonadati; Bacteroidota; Flavobacteriia; Flavobacteriales; Flavobacteriaceae. The record is from RNAcentral.